CGUGCAUCCCACUCAUAUUCAUUGCCAUAAAUGAAGUGUAUUAUCUUAUCAACGUUUUCUUAAUAUGGGAAAAGAUCGAGAUUUCGUCGGAGAUAUAAAAUGAAUAAAAUAUUAUGAGUAUUUAUUAAGAUUACGUGGCUUAACAGCGACGAAGUUAUAUUGUACAUUGUGUCGAUAGCGAGCUGUACCAGUUGUCGUCUCAAAUUUCCGUAAUAUACUAUGCUUCAUAUCGAUUGAAAUAUUGGUGUUUAUACCGCCUGUGCUAGUGAAAUACUUCAAAUUUAUGGCGACAACGGUGAAUGUUAAGUCGACUUUAUUUGAUGUCAUGGAUGAAAUCGAGAUUGAAAAUUACAACUCAGAUCUCGAGCUUGCUGCUGCUAUCGGCAAGAACUUAUUGGAGAGGAAUAAAGAACUGGAAUUAUUGCUUGGAUCCACUCAAGAUUAUGCCGAAGAGCAGGUCCAGAGGAGUCAAUAUUUAAAACUUCAGUUGGAGGAUGCUAGAGAAUUGAAUGAAACGCGCCUCAAGGUGAUGGAACAAAUUGAGAAAAAUAACGAAAAUCUGUCGCGAAGUCAUGCGAAACUUCAGCGCGAGACACAACUCAUACACGACGACAAACAAUUGUUGACUGAAAGUUUGAAUUCUUUAAUGGAAAAAUGUAACGAAUACAAAGCUGAAAUGGAACAAUUGAGGCACGAAAAUGCGAAACUGCAAAAACAGUUGUCCAUGUCGAGAACUCAAUCUGAAACUAUCUCUCGACAAGCAGCGACGAAGGAUGUUCCUGUACAAUGCAGUUCAAUUGAAAACAGCGUUCAAGAUUUGUCUGUUGUCAUAAAAACGAUGAAAUUUGAGCAAGAUAUCGAGAAGACGUUGCGCAAAGAUUUAGAAGAUGAAUUAUUACAAUUGAUAAUUGAAAAUCAAAGUUUGGAGCAUAAACUGCAAUCGUUUGCUCAUGGAAAUCGACUUUCUUCUGCUGAGCAAUCAAAACAUAUUGCAAGUUCUACAGUAGAAAGCCUUAAUACAACUAAGCCAGACUUCGAAGAAGACGAUGCAGAAUGUUUAGAUGAAAGUUUUGUAAUGGUUGAGGAAGAAGGUAUUAUUGAAAUGGAUAGCAAAUCCACGGAAAUUUCGUUUCUUGACGAGUUAGAUCAACAGUACAGAGAUCUUGUGACGAAGUACAAUGCUUUGGUUGAAAAAUGCAAAAACGAGGGUAUUCCCUAUGAGUCAAAAGAAAUGUGUACUGUACAGAGAGCAGUACAAACUUGCGAAGACGAGUCGGUAGGAACAAAUGUACAAGAAACCUGUGUGAACGUAAAUGAAGCUUGCAGUGAUGGAGAGAGUCUACCAAAAUAUAAAAAAAUCUUCGCUGAAAUUUAUGCGAAGAUCCGCGAAGGAAAGGAGUGUGAAUGAAGGUUUUAUUUAUGGGAAACUACCAAAAAUAAUGAAAAAUUUGGGGAUGUCUGGGAGGAGGGAUUUUCAAAUUGAGGAGAAUGUGAAAGAGGCUUGUGUUGUAUUGUCUUUGAUUUUUGGUGAUAGAGGCUGAAAAAUGUAACGCUUGGGGUUUUUUAAGGUUAGCUACAGUGAUGUGGGAAGAAUGUUGACAACCAAAACUUGCGGGGGAGGAGGAGAUACAAAUUACAACCAUAACGUGGGAUAGAUAUUGAUAAACAGGGAUACAGAUUUUUGAGCGCGAACGGAAAGCAGCAAGAAGUUGAAAAAAGUGCGUAAAAAUGUGUAUGAAAGAGAGAAAAUGAUAUUAUAACUGAAAAAUAAACAACUUCAUCAAAAGAAAGAAGAAUUUCUAUCAUAAGAACAAUAAAGAUAUUUAAAUUGUAAUAUAUAUGAAGAAAAAAAUUUUACUAUUGAGAAA
Molecule: RNA transcript, 1868 nt
Organism: Xenia sp. Carnegie-2017
Lineage: Eukaryota; Metazoa; Cnidaria; Anthozoa; Malacalcyonacea; Xeniidae
Gene name: cerebellar degeneration-related protein 2-like
Exons: 4
Source: RefSeq, a predicted model, not a curated record